AGCUUUGCACAGUGGCCAGUAUCAUAACCAAUGAAGUUAAUCUGAGGUGUGAUUAUUGCUACUUGAAAAUCCACUCCUCUCCCCCUUCCUGGUGGUAGAUGGUACAGUACUACUGUAGACAGCAGAAACUG
RNAcentral lists this small nuclear RNA (131 nucleotides) under Chelonoidis abingdonii (Abingdon island giant tortoise). RNAcentral's name for it is "U4 spliceosomal RNA (ENSCABG00000008089.1)". It matches the Rfam family "U4 spliceosomal RNA". From Rfam's summary of the family: U4 small nuclear RNA (U4 snRNA) is a component of the major U2-dependent spliceosome. The structure of U4 snRNA from yeast and human has been reported. The record is from Rfam by way of RNAcentral. Lineage: Eukaryota; Metazoa; Chordata; Testudines; Testudinidae.